UAACCUUAGUGCCGUUGUUGGGCUUAGUGGCUGGCUUCCCUGUUCGAGAUCUUUGAGGAACCAGAUCAGUGUGUCACAUGAAGCUGUAAGGCGUGCUGCGUCUCUGCCCAUUUUACUCUGUCAUGGUUCAGGUGACGACGUCGUUGCUUUCAAACAUGGGGAGAAAUCUGCACAUACUUUAAGUUCAGCUGGAUUUAGAAAUCUAACAUUUAAAACCUAUAACGGGCUGGGCCAUUACACCAUUCCUG
RNAcentral lists this unclassified non-coding RNA (248 nucleotides) under Hevea brasiliensis (rubber tree). Lineage: Eukaryota; Viridiplantae; Streptophyta; Magnoliopsida; Malpighiales; Euphorbiaceae. The record is from RNAcentral.